This 2120-nucleotide long non-coding RNA is filed under the name Homo sapiens (human). Its description in RNAcentral is "HSALNT0006096". The record is from RNAcentral. Lineage: Eukaryota; Metazoa; Chordata; Mammalia; Primates; Hominidae.
GUUGCAGCGAGCUGAGAUGGCGCCACUGCACUCCAGCCUAGGCGACAGAGUGAGACUCAGUCUCAAAAGAAAAAAGCAAACAAACAAACAAAAAACAAAAAGAAAUGUUACUUCUGGCUGUGCCAAGACAAGCUUGGGGAGCAAUUCUUGGGCUACAUAUACCUGAGCCCCACGUUCCAGUACCUGCAACUACUGAGGGACAGCCAGCUAGGGUUUCCCCACCAUCCUGACAACCUUCAGGGGAGCCAACUCCUAUUUCCAGAGCUGGAGCCAGCUAGGCUUUCCUGAGUGCAGCAAUAAAAGGGGAAAAUCAACAUCCCAAUGAUCUUGUUUAUGGUGCUAAGUAAGCUGCACAGCUUAAUCCCUACGAGGUUAAUGAAUUUACGACUUGCUUUGGAAUUUGACAAGGGCUAUAAAAGAGGAAUGAACCACGCUCUGGACAGCUCCUUCCUAGCGGCUGCUAGGGUUGGACUAGCUUGACCCGCCCUGAUGAAGGAGGGGUGAAGACGUAAGUGGUGGGUUCAUGGCCAAUUGUCUGGGUUCUGAAUUGAGUGGACCAAAGGAGGGACAAUCUAAGGGCCAAAGGACAUUUCCUGUAACCCUCUGGCUAGGUCAGGGUGAGCAGCCUGGGCUGCUCGAGCUGGAGUUCCCAGGUCUUCAGGUGACCUUGGUGUCUUGGGCAAGUCAUUUAACCUCUCUGAGCCUCUGUUUCCUCAUCUGGAAGAGACACGAUGCUAUGUACCUCAUGUUGUAGCUGUGAGAAUGAUGUGAGAGAAUGCAUGUAAAGGAACUAGCAUUGGAUUUGUAUAUAGUAAGUCCUCAAAAAAUGUUAGUGGUGGUAAUUAUCAUUUCAUUCUGUCUUAAAUCAUAAUUUGCUGUCUACUUGUCUAUGCCCCCACCAUUUAUCCAUCCAUUCAGAAAUUCAAUAAAUCUUUACUGAGAAAUUAGACUGCGUGCCAGGCCCUGUGUCAGAUACAAUUUGGAAUGAGAGGCACAUACCUUAAAACACAUUAAAAAGAAAGGAGAUUGGUGCUGGGAAGGAAGGACGUACAGGUUACCCUGAAUGCACAAAGAAAGAAGUGGCUGAACCUGCCUCUCUAGUCUAAGCCAGUUUUGAAUAAUGCCUUCUACUGAUAGAGCACUUAGCACAUCACAGAAGUGAUGUUCUUUGAUUCUUUUGAUUCUCGAAAUAAUCCAGUAAUGACCACAUUUUCUAAAUCAAAAAUUAGAAUCCAGUGUGACUACAUGGUAUGGCAAUAGGUCAAAACAUUUGGAAUAGGGACAGGUUAGAAAAGCUGGGACAUGCUGAACUUCAUAAACAGAGAGGGCACAGAUUUCUAGUAUCUGUUUGAACAGCUAUGAAAAUGAAGCUAAAAUUGUCAGUGGGAGAAGUGAGGCUUCAUCCCAUUCAUUCACUGAUUACUUUGCGAGAAGCCAAGGGCAAGGACUGUGCUGCUUACUUCUGGGUACACGGAGCCUAGAAUAGAACCUGCAGAGAUUAGAGCCUCAAUAAAUGUUUCUCACAUGAAUAAUGAAUCUUUGUAUAAGUAUAUAUAUAUAUAUAUCUGCUUCUGGAAGCAAAAUUCAAAAGAGAAACUGAUAUUCAUCAUUUUCUCUUUUUCCCCUCUCAUAUUGUCUUGAAAGCGCUCUGGCUGGGAUUGACAAGCGUUCCCUUUUUGCCAGUUCUGAUGGUUAAGUCUCAGUAAUCCUCACCGGACUCCACGGACAGUGACUUGAGCUCAGUAGAUCACUCCCUUCUUCUUCUUCUUUUUUGGAAAUGGAGUUUUGCUCUUGUUGCCCAGGCUGGAGGGCAAUGGCGUGAUCUCGACUCACUGCAACCUCCACCUCCCGGGUUCAAGCGAUUCUCCUGUCUCAGCCUCCUGAAUAGCUGGGAUUACAGGCUAAUUUUUGGUAUUUUUAGUAGAGAUGGGGUUUCACUAUGUUGGCCAGGCUGAUCUCGAACUCCUGACCUCAGGUGAUCCACCCGCCUCGGCCUCCCAAAGUGCCUUUUUUUUUUUUUUUUUGAGAUGUAGUCUCACUAUGUUGGCCAGGCUGGAGUGCAGUAACGCGAUCUUUGCUCACUGCAACCUCCGCCUUCCGGAUUCAAUCAAUUCUCCUGC